GAUGAACGCUGGCGGCGUGCCUAAUACAUGCAAGUCGAGCGAACAGAUAAGGAGCUUGCUCCUUUGACGUUAGCGGCGGACGGGUGAGUAACACGUGGGUAACCUACCUAUAAGACUGGAAUAACUCCGGGAAACCGGGGCUAAUGCCGGAUAACAUUUAGAACCGCAUGGUUCUAUAGUGAAAGAUGGUUUUGCUAUCACUUAUAGAUGGACCCGCGCCGUAUUAGCUAGUUGGUAAGGUAACGGCUUACCAAGGCAACGAUACGUAGCCGACCUGAGAGGGUGAUCGGCCACAGUGGAACUGAGACACGGUCCAGACUCCGACGGGAGGCAGCAGUAGGGAAUCUUCCGCAAUGGGCGAAAGCCUGACGGAGCAACGCCGCGUGAGUGAUGAAGGUCUUCGGAUCGUAAAACUCUGUUAUUAGGGAAGAACAAAUGUGUAAGUAACUGUGCACGUCUUGACGGUACCUAAUCAGAAAGCCACGGCUAACUACGUG
This 497-nucleotide ribosomal RNA is filed under the name uncultured bacterium. Its description in RNAcentral is "partial 16S ribosomal RNA". It matches the Rfam family "Bacterial small subunit ribosomal RNA", at positions 28 to 507 of the family's 1533-position model. The record is from RNAcentral.